This 195-nucleotide non-coding RNA is filed under the name pig gut metagenome. The record is from RNAcentral.
UUCGGAAGGGUGAAAAUGGGAAUCAGGUGAAAGACCUGAACUGUGCCCGCAGCGGUGAGUCCACUCGCCUUGCUAUGCCGAGAAGACAAGUGAGGUGUUUAAUCAGUUUGAUGUGACCGGAUAUUCUUUGCCACUGUUCUUCGGAAUGGGAAGGCUUCCGGUCGGGACGAGUCCGAAGACCUGCCUUCAGCAUUG